Molecule: long non-coding RNA, 1136 nt
Organism: Rhea pennata
Lineage: Eukaryota; Metazoa; Chordata; Aves; Rheiformes; Rheidae
Exons: 5
Source: RefSeq, a predicted model, not a curated record
GAAGAUGGAGGAGGUUUUGGUUUCUAAGAGAAAAUCUGCAGCUUUUUCCAGAAAUACCCAAGGGGUCCAGAAGAAAACCUACUGAGAGAGCCACUACUCGGUGUGUGGACAAGAGGAAGCCUCCUGCACACGCCAGCAAGGCUGACAAGGAGAAAGAGAAAAGACAAUGGAGGUUCCCAGACUCGGAAGGGAAUGUCGGCAGAAGGGGAUUUUUUUCAUGUUUUCAAGAGAUUGGUACGUCAGCAAGAAAAGUUUUCUUCCUGGGGAGAAAUACAAGCAAAUAUCAAGACAAGAGGAGUCAACACGAUCCACCUAAUGCUCUCCUUUCCCUGACGUGUACUCAAGAAUCAGAUAUCUCACAGGGUUCCAUCAGGAUGGAAAGCAGUUUAGAGAUAAAAGGAGGUUUUACCCAAUGCCCAUUGCUUCAAGAGGAGGCAUUUUGCUAGGACGAGACAGAGCAAUGAGUAUCGAUCUUAGCCUCAUUUACAGUGCUGUCGCGUCACUCUCAAGGCUCUAAUGGACAAUGAGUUACUGUGGAGACAACCAGGAGUAAAAUGCAGCUGGUGUGCCAGCUCCAGUGCUUAAGCCACAGGGAAAAAAAGCAGGACACUGGUGGCAUAGAAACCACGUGCUCCACACCUCUGCUGUUCCUGCAGGCCUGGGAUGAUAUCUACCCAGAAGACUUACAACGUCCUUUCCUCAAGCUCCCUGACACGCAUUAUGACUGUGAACACUGCCUCUUUCUCAGAGCAGCAUUUAAGCAUGAGUAUUUGUCUCAGAAAAAACAAACAUACACCAUCAAACACAAACCAGCCCUCGGAGACGCACAGCUCCCGGAGUUGGGGCUCAAAACUCUCUGAAACUUCACUCAUUUGGGUUAAAAGGGACCUUGAUGCAGAACACUUCAGCUAUGGGAACUGUGCAUCCGUGGGAUGUAUUUAUUUAUUUAUUUAUUUAUUUUCCAGUCUCUCAUUCUCCUACUUUAGCUGAUCUCUAGCUAUCAAAUUGUGAUGGAGCAAAGGUAAUAAAAUGCCUGUAGGAGAGAAAAUCCUGCCUGAAGUUCUCCCAGAGCUCAGCCAGACCUAGAAGAUGCACAGUUCAAUUAAAAGAAAUACAAAGUUUUUCUCUUUUCACCU